Molecule: ribosomal RNA, 284 nt
Filed under: uncultured bacterium
Lineage: Bacteria
Description: partial 16S ribosomal RNA
Rfam family: Archaeal small subunit ribosomal RNA
Source: RNAcentral
AACCUCCGCAAUGUGAGAAAUCGCGACGGGGGGAUCCCAAGUGCCAUUCUUAACGGGAUGGCUUUUCAUUAGUGUAAAGAGCUUUUGGAAUAAGAGCUGGGCAAGACCGGUGCCAGCCGCCGCGGUAACACCGGCAGCUCUAGUGGUAACAAUUUUUAUUGGGCCUAAAGCGUCCGUAGCCGGUUUAAUAAGUCUCUGGUGAAAUCCUGUAGCUUAACUGUGGGAAUUGCUGGAGAUACUAUUAGACUUGAGACCGGGAGAGGUUAGAGGUACCCUACGGUAGG